RNAcentral lists this transfer RNA (68 nucleotides) under Isopachys gyldenstolpei. RNAcentral describes it as "tRNA-Glu". It matches the Rfam family "tRNA". Rfam says of the family: Transfer RNA (tRNA) molecules are approximately 80 nucleotides in length. Their secondary structure includes four short double-helical elements and three loops (D, anti-codon, and T loops). Further hydrogen bonds mediate the characteristic L-shaped molecular structure. tRNAs have two regions of fundamental functional importance: the anti-codon, which is responsible for specific mRNA codon recognition, and the 3' end, to which the tRNAs corresponding amino acid is attached (by aminoacyl-tRNA synthetases). tRNAs cope with the degeneracy of the genetic code in two manners: having more than one tRNA (with a specific anti-codon) for a particular amino acid; and 'wobble' base-pairing, i.e. permitting non-standard base-pairing at the 3rd anti-codon position. Lineage: Eukaryota; Metazoa; Chordata; Lepidosauria; Squamata; Scincidae. The record is from RNAcentral.
GUUUUUGUAGUUGAAAACAACAGUGGUUUUUCGUAUCACAGGUCUUGGUUUAAACCCGAGUAAAAACA